Molecule: ribosomal RNA, 1100 nt
Filed under: uncultured bacterium
Lineage: Bacteria
Description: bacterial SSU rRNA
Rfam family: Bacterial small subunit ribosomal RNA
Source: RNAcentral
GAUGAACGCUGGCGGCGUGCUUAACACAUGCAAGUCGAACGGUGAAGCCAAGCUUGCUUGGUGGAUCAGUGGCGAACGGGUGAGUAACACGUGAGCAACCUGCCCUGGACUCUGGGAUAAGCGCUGGAAACGGCGUCUAAUACUGGAUAUGAGACGUGAUCGCAUGGUCAACGUUUGGAAAGAUUUUUCGGUCUGGGAUGGGCUCGCGGCCUAUCAGCUUGUUGGUGAGGUAAUGGCUCACCAAGGCGUCGACGGGUAGCCGGCCUGAGAGGGUGACCGGCCACACUGGGACUGAGACACGGCCCAGACUCCUACGGGAGGCAGCAGUGGGGAAUAUUGCACAAUGGGCGGAAGCCUGAUGCAGCAACGCCGCGUGAGGGAUGACGGCCUUCGGGUUGUAAACCUCUUUUAGCAGGGAAGAAGCGAAAGUGACGGUACCUGCAGAAAAAGCGCCGGCUAACUACGUGCCAGCAGCCGCGGUAAUACGUAGGGCGCAAGCGUUAUCCGGAAUUAUUGGGCGUAAAGAGCUCGUAGGCGGUUUGUCGCGUCUGCUGUGAAAUCCCGAGGCUCAACCUCGGACCUGCAGUGGGUACGGGCAGACUAGAGUGCGGUAGGGGAGAUUGGAAUUCCUGGUGUAGCGGUGGAAUGCGCAGAUAUCAGGAGGAACACCGAUGGCGAAGGCAGAUCUCUGGGCCGUAACUGACGCUGAGGAGCGAAAGGGUGGGGAGCAAACAGGCUUAGAUACCCUGGUAGUCCACCCCGUAAACGUUGGGAACUAGUUGUGGGGACCAUUCCACGGUUUCCGUGACGCAGCUAACGCAUUAAGUUCCCCGCCUGGGGAGUACGGCCGCAAGGCUAAAACUCAAAGGAAUUGACGGGGACCCGCACAAGCGGCGGAGCAUGCGGAUUAAUUCGAUGCAACGCGAAGAACCUUACCAAGGCUUGACAUACACCAGAACGGGCCAGAAAUGGUCAACUCUUUGGACACUGGUGAACAGGUGGUGCAUGGUUGUCGUCAGCUCGUGUCGUGAGAUGUUGGGUUAAGUCCCGCAACGAGCGCAACCCUCGUUCUAUGUUGCCAGCACGUAAUGGUGGGAACU